UAGAUUAGUAACUUAAGAAUG
This 21-nucleotide non-coding RNA is filed under the name Caenorhabditis elegans. The record is from RNAcentral. Lineage: Eukaryota; Metazoa; Nematoda; Chromadorea; Rhabditida; Rhabditidae.